This 270-nucleotide ribosomal RNA is filed under the name uncultured bacterium. Its description in RNAcentral is "partial 16S ribosomal RNA". It matches the Rfam family "Bacterial small subunit ribosomal RNA", at positions 28 to 291 of the family's 1533-position model. The record is from RNAcentral.
GACGAACGCUGGCGGCGUGCUUAACACAUGCAAGUGGUGCGACGAACCAGGGCUUGCCCUGGGGCAAAGCCGCGAACGGGUGAGUAACACGUGGGUAACCUGCCCCGAUGACCGGGACAACCCGAGGAAACUCGGGCUAAUACCGGAUGUGGCGCAGAGGCUCAAGCCUCUUCGCUAAAGGAAGCUUCGGCCUCCGCAUUGGGAGGGGCCCGCGGCCCAUUAGCUUGUUGGUGGGGUCACGGCCUACCAAGGCGACGAUGGGUAGCUGGU